GGCCUUGUGGCCCAAUGGAUAAGGCGCCUGACUACGGAUCAGGAGAUUCCAGGUUCGAGUCCUGGCAAGGUCU
This 73-nucleotide transfer RNA is filed under the name Nematostella vectensis (starlet sea anemone). RNAcentral describes it as "tRNA-Arg". It matches the Rfam family "tRNA". Rfam says of the family: Transfer RNA (tRNA) molecules are approximately 80 nucleotides in length. Their secondary structure includes four short double-helical elements and three loops (D, anti-codon, and T loops). Further hydrogen bonds mediate the characteristic L-shaped molecular structure. tRNAs have two regions of fundamental functional importance: the anti-codon, which is responsible for specific mRNA codon recognition, and the 3' end, to which the tRNAs corresponding amino acid is attached (by aminoacyl-tRNA synthetases). tRNAs cope with the degeneracy of the genetic code in two manners: having more than one tRNA (with a specific anti-codon) for a particular amino acid; and 'wobble' base-pairing, i.e. permitting non-standard base-pairing at the 3rd anti-codon position. The record is from Rfam by way of RNAcentral. Lineage: Eukaryota; Metazoa; Cnidaria; Anthozoa; Actiniaria; Edwardsiidae.